AACGAACGCUGGCGGCAUGCCUAACACAUGCAAGUCGAACGAGACCUUCGGGUCUAGUGGCGCACGGGUGCGUAACGCGUGGGAAUCUGCCCUUGGGUUCGGAAUAACAGUUGGAAACGACUGCUAAUACCGGAUGAUGACGUAAGUCCAAAGAUUUAUCGCCCAAGGAUGAGCCCGCGUAGGAUUAGCUAGUUGGUGAGGUAAAGGCUCACCAAGGCGACGAUCCUUAGCUGGUCUGAGAGGAUGAUCAGCCACACUGGGACUGAGACACGGCCCAGACUCCUACGGGAGGCAGCAGUGGGGAAUAUUGGACAAUGGGCGAAAGCCUGUUCCAGCAAUGCCGCGUGAGUGAUGAAGGCCUUAGGGUUGUAAAGCUCUUUUACCCGGGAUGAUAAUGACAGUACCGGGAGAAUAAGCUCCGGCUAACUCCGUG
RNAcentral lists this ribosomal RNA (433 nucleotides) under uncultured bacterium. RNAcentral's name for it is "partial 16S ribosomal RNA". It matches the Rfam family "Bacterial small subunit ribosomal RNA", at positions 29 to 507 of the family's 1533-position model. The record is from RNAcentral.